Hippopotamus amphibius kiboko is the source of this 2575-nucleotide RNA transcript. RefSeq lists it as uncharacterized. NCBI's taxonomy places the organism in Eukaryota, Metazoa, Chordata, Mammalia, Artiodactyla, Hippopotamidae. The record is from RefSeq and is a predicted model, not a curated record. The transcript is spliced from 6 exons.
GGCUCCUUCCUCAUUCUGGAGAAGGGGUGGACCCCGUCCUGCUGGGCCUCUGACGCCGGCCCCGGCCCAGCCCCUCUCCCCCUCCCCCGGGCCAAUUAGAAGCUGUCAUCGGGAGACCCAUCGCGAUCUCCUUCAAAAGAACCGCCGAGGCCCGGAGGCACCUACUGUUUUAAGUGCUUUUGUGUUUUGCGGGGGGGAGGGGGUGUCCCGGGGACAGCGCCCCAAGUUCCUCGCCAUUCGCGCUGCACAGAUGGGGACACGGAGGCACAGCCAGGCAGCGACUCCCCGGGGAGCCUCUCCCACCCGUGGGGUCCCAGAGUCUCAACCGCAGAGCCGGCAGCUUUGGAACUUUGGGUCAGAGCCAUCCAUUCUUCCUGCAGACAUUUAUGAGGCGCCUACCGUAUGCCAGGCGUUCUACGCGCAGCACGGACCCAAAUGACAAACUGCCGACCUCCCCGCCUUAUACUCUAGACAGACAGGUGAGGAGCUGCUUCCUCUCCACGUGCCAGGUGCCCUACUGGCGGGACACCUGUCAUCUAUUAGUUCAUUCCAGAAUAACAGGUGCCACGGGGCUUCCGGGAUCUUAGUUCCAGGACCAGGGAUGGAAGCCAUGCCCCCGGCAGUGGAAGCCCAGAUUCUUAACCACUGGACCACCGGGGAAUUCCCUCUGCGGGUCGCGGCUGGUUCCCAGGCCCGGGGGCGCCGCUUACCGUCAGGACAAGGGCCCGGCCGCUCGGUGCCUCGGUUUCUCUGCUGGAACCGGGAUGCGGAGAGGACCUCCCCGGAGGAUGCGCUGUGUAGCCGGCAGCAUCCUACUCACAUGCCACCUUCUCAGAAAAGCCAUUCCUGAACAGCCUGUCUGAAACGGCCACGACUGCUCCCUGUGCCUCUUCCCUGCUGCUUUUCUUCAUAGAUUGAGUGCGUGAUUCACGGCAGCCCAAAGGGGGAAACACCCCAAGUAAUGGAUAAACGUAUGUGGUCCCUCCACAUGGAAUUCGGCCUUAAAAAGGAUGGAGAUUCUGACAUCUGCUCUACCAUGGAUGAACCUGGAGGACCUGAUGCUCAGUGAGACAGGCCAGAUACAGAAGCACAGAUACUCUCUGAUUCCACUCACGCGGGGUCCCUGGGAGUCAGAUCCAUAGAAAAUAGGACAGCGGGGGCCAGGGUCUGGGGGAGGGGGUGGGGAGUUACUGUUUAACGGGUACAGAGUUUCUGUUUGAAAUGAUGAAAAGGUUUUGGAGACAAUUCGUGUUGAUGGUUGCACAAAGUGGUGAAUGAAAUAAAUGUCACUGAAUUGUACACAAAAAUGGUGAAGAUGGUAGGGAGUAUGUGUAUGUACCAUAAUUUUUUUUUUUAAUGUUUUAAGGAAAAAAGACUGAGAGAUGGCAGGGAGAUCGCUGGUCCAACAUCUUGGUUUACAGAAAUGGGGGCGGGAGAGGGGCAUGUCUUCCCAAAAGCCCAUGCGACAAUGAGUGGCCAGUUGGGCCAGGAACCAGGGCUCCGCCCCGUCGGUGCCCUGCCCCCAUGAAGAGGGGCAUCCCUUGCAAAACGCCCAAACCCGCAGCGCAGCACGUCGACUUGAAGUCAGGGGCAGGAGGAACACCCUGGGCGGCCAGGCUGCGGCUCCUGUGAGCUGAGACCCCAACCUCAAGGUGCCGGGGCCCCGCCAGCCACAAGGGAGUCAGGUGACACCCCAGGGGCUUCAGGGCCCCUCUGCUGCCCCGCCCCCAGACAGUAACAGGAAAUAAGCUAGAAGGGACCAAGUGUUUAGGAACAAAAUUUAUUCCAAUUUAAAACAGAAUUCAUUUCAGGAGAAAGGUAUGAAAAGUCAAUUUCCAUCAGGUAUCUCUGGAUUAAGGGGUCAGGGCCCCGACACGCUGCCUGGAUGUGGGCGGCUCCGGCCCCGGGAGGUUGGCACUGCGCUGGCGGCGCCCGUCCCUCAGCCCGCACAGACAACACAUGCACUUCAAAUGACAAAAGGUUUAAAAACAGCAUUUUUAUAUAAUAUUCUUUUUUUAAAUAGAUUAAGGUUUAAAUUGUCUGAAAUCAGGACUGUUUAAUAUACAAGUACAAGCAGGCGAGGUUGCCCCCGCCGGCCGGCAUGGCCCCUCACGCCACUGGGGCGUUGGCACUCAGAGGGCAGUUCUGCUGGGUGAUGUGACACAGUGGGGGGGGGGAGGCGGGCACACGGGGAAGUGCCACGGAGGUGAAGCUCACACACGGGGCAAGGGUGGGGCCAAGACCUGCUGCCACAUCCUCCCAGCACGCACGCGGGGUGGGGCCAGGCUGGCGAGGUCCCAGUGGGCCGGGCGGGGAGGUUUGGCACUGCGGCCAGGCUUGCCCUGGGAUCUUGGCACACUGACCCCUCAGGAAGCUAAUACUCUGGGUGCCCCCCGCCCCAGAGCCCAAUCCAGUUCCCUGCGUCAUGUGGGCCCGAGGGAGCCCACCACCAGCGGCACCUCCUGCCCACCGGGCGCACCUCAGGGCCACGGCCUGAAACCCCCAGUGGAUGCAUGGCACAAAAGAGGGCCCUUUGGGUGGAGACGCCAGAGGAGAACAGGCUGAGAAGCUUGCC